GUGGAUUAGAUACCCUGGUAGUCCGCACUGUAAACGAUGAUUACUCGCUGCUGGGAGGUAACUUUCAGUGGCUAAGCGAAAGCGAUAAGUAAUCCACCUGGGGAGUACGCCGGCAACGGUGAAACUCAAAGGAAUUGACGGGGGCCCGCACAAGCGGAGGAGCAUGUGGUUUAAUUCGAUGAUACGCGAGGAACCUUACCAGGGCUUGAAAGUUAGUGACCGGUGGUGAAAGCCACUUUUCAGCAAUGACACGAAACUAGGUGCUGCAUGGCUGUCGUCAACU
Molecule: ribosomal RNA, 283 nt
Filed under: uncultured bacterium
Lineage: Bacteria
Description: partial 16S ribosomal RNA
Rfam family: Bacterial small subunit ribosomal RNA
Source: RNAcentral